This is a long non-coding RNA of Vitis riparia (riverbank grape), 1064 nucleotides long. RefSeq lists it as uncharacterized. NCBI's taxonomy places the organism in Eukaryota, Viridiplantae, Streptophyta, Magnoliopsida, Vitales, Vitaceae. The transcript has 3 exons. The record is from RefSeq and is a predicted model, not a curated record.
AAAAAAAAAAAAAAAAAAACAAAACAGAAAAACGAGGGGAGCUGAGUACGGGUGAGGAACAGAGAAGAAAAAAACAGAGGGAGUUCUGGAUAUGGGAGAAGCCUAAAAAUAGUGGGGAAAAGUGAAUGAGAGGCGGAAGAUUGGUCUUUGAGUGCAACAUCAUUUUUGUUCUUGGUUGAAUUUUGGAGAUACACAGAUCAAUUUUUUUGAGUGAGAAAGCACCACGAUAGCAACCACUUUCUCCUCCAUUUAGAAUCACCAUCACCAUCACGAUUUGAAGAGGAGAGCUUCAGCACUAUGGGUUUUUGAAGAGGAGAGCUUCAACAUCUCGGUUUUUAGGAAGUCAUCAUCAGCAUACACAAAUCAUAUUUGGUGGAGAUUCUGAGUUCGAUAACUCUAAAAAAAAUGCAACGAGAAGAUUGCCAAGUUAAGAGUGUAGGGAGGGAAUUGUACCAGAGAACUAAGGUUGCACCAUGGGAAAUCAAAAAGGCCGCAUGGAAAAGUGGAGUUCUGGAAACAAUCAAGGUGGAAAAAUGAGACAUGGGAAAAAAAGAGUUUUGAAGAGAAUGAAGGCUGGGGGGGUUUCCAAAGGAGAGGGGCUGUGGGAAAAUGGAGCCAUGUGGGGAGUCUUAAAAAAGAAAAGAAAGAAAAAAAAAAAAAGGAAGACUAGGGUUUUCCGAGGGGGGAAGUGGAAAAGCCUGAAGGAAGGAACCUUGAGGAGGUUAAAAAUCGGCAGGAGAGGAAGAAGAGAGAGGGGAACAUCCUGGAGGUUUAGAGAGAAAAAGGGAAAAGAGAAACAGAGCAGGAGAGGGAGAAGAGCAGGGGAGAGAAAGGGAAGCUAAUUUUGCGGUGAUUUACUAUAAGUUUAAAAGAAGAAACAGAGCAACUUGGAGCCUAGCUGUUCUCAUUGGAAAGAGCAUUUCCAGAUUUGGCUUUGGUUGUUGGUUUUGCUUUGCUGAAGGAGAUGAAGUGAAAAGAGAAGAAACCUAGAGUGAUAUUUAACUCUCAACCACCUGGACGUGUGGGGAUUUGGUUAUUUGAAAAACCCAAAAUUGAAAUUGGAA